CCCCUUUUACAACGCUCUCGGAGCGCCUAUAUCGCGAUCGCUGGGCAACCGGCUAUGGCGAUAAACGAUAUAUGGAAUAAGCGUAGUGGACCCGGGGGCAGUGCCCGGCGCCUCCACCAGUCUUCUCCCGGCGGGUCGGCCGGGCGAGGGGGGCGAAACAGGCUCGACACGCGUGGUAAAGAUGUAUCUUUCGCUCGGCAUGGUUCCGCCGUCAUCGGGCCGUUUUACAGGUGCCAACGACAACAUGGCGCUCGCUGUCGCUGCGUAAGCGAUAAGCGCGGUUCGGGGGGCACCGGGCAACAGAAGCCCCCCACU
RNAcentral lists this transfer-messenger RNA (315 nucleotides) under Acidicaldus sp. It matches the Rfam family "Alphaproteobacteria transfer-messenger RNA". Rfam says of the family: Bacterial tmRNA, also known as 10Sa RNA or SsrA, is named for its dual tRNA and mRNA-like properties. Its role is to liberate the mRNA from a stalled ribosome. Lineage: Bacteria; Pseudomonadati; Pseudomonadota; Alphaproteobacteria; Acetobacterales; Acetobacteraceae. The record is from RNAcentral.